AUGUUGAUGCAAUACUAUUUCAUGGAGAAUCCUACAUAUCCUCCGCACCUCUUCCAGAGAAGGUACCGAAUGCGCCGAUCCAUCUUUGUGAAAAUUGUUGAAGCUUGCGAAGAAAAUUGCCGGUAUUUUGCUCAAAGAAGAAAUGUCGCGGGCUUAAAGGGAUUUAGUGCAUAUCAAAAAGUCUUCGCAGCUAUGCGGGUGAUUGCAUAUGGCGUUCCGGCUGACUAUGCCGAUGAGUAUCUUCGCAUUGGUGAAGAUAACACAAUUGAGUCUGUGCGUAGAUUUGCGAAAGUGGUCAUUCGUGUCUUCGGUCCUGAGUAUCUUCGGGCACCCAAUGAAGAUGACACAAAGAAAUUGAUGGCAUCAAAUGAGAGGAGAGGUUGGCCUGGCAUGCUAGGUAGCACUGAUUGUAUGCAUUGGAAUUGGAAAAAUUGCCCCAAGGCUUGGCAAGGAAUGUAUUGUGGCAAGUCUCAUGAUGCAACUACACUAUCAAUGGGCAUGAAUACACAAAGGGGUACUAUCUUGCAGAUGGUAUAUACCCUCCUUGGUGCACAUUUGUCAAGAGCAUCAAAGAACCCAAAACAAAAAAACAAUGUGAAUUUGCAAGGGUGCAAGAGGCAGCCCGAAAAGACAUUGAAAGAGCAUUCGGUGUUUUGCAAUCUAGGUUUGCCAUUGUCCCUGGUCCUGCUCGUUUUUGGGAUAAAAAAACCUUGA
RNAcentral lists this ribosomal RNA (714 nucleotides) under Triticum aestivum (bread wheat). Its description in RNAcentral is "partial small subunit ribosomal RNA". The record is from RNAcentral. Lineage: Eukaryota; Viridiplantae; Streptophyta; Magnoliopsida; Poales; Poaceae.